UACGGAGGGGGCUAGCGUUGUUCGGAAUUACUGGGCGUAAAGCGCGUGUAGGCGGGAAGAUAAGUCGGGUGUGAAAUCCCUGGGCUCAACCUAGGAACUGCAUUCGAAACUGUCUUUCUGGAGUGAUGGAGAGGAAAGCGGAAUUCCCGGUGUAGAGGUGAAAUUCGUAGAUAUCGGGAGGAACACCAGUGGCGAAGGCGGCUUUCCAGAAUGCGCUCGACGGUGAGGGAUGAAAGCUGGGGGAGCAAACCGG
RNAcentral lists this ribosomal RNA (253 nucleotides) under uncultured bacterium. Its description in RNAcentral is "partial 16S ribosomal RNA". It matches the Rfam family "Bacterial small subunit ribosomal RNA", at positions 524 to 776 of the family's 1533-position model. The record is from RNAcentral.